Molecule: transfer RNA, 49 nt
Filed under: Lophiola aurea
Lineage: Eukaryota; Viridiplantae; Streptophyta; Magnoliopsida; Dioscoreales; Nartheciaceae
Description: partial tRNA-Phe
Rfam family: tRNA
About the family: Transfer RNA (tRNA) molecules are approximately 80 nucleotides in length. Their secondary structure includes four short double-helical elements and three loops (D, anti-codon, and T loops).
Source: RNAcentral
GUCGGGGUAGCUCAGUUGGUAGAGCAGAGGACUGAAAAUCCUCGUGUCA